Molecule: long non-coding RNA, 802 nt
Organism: Pseudophryne corroboree (corroboree frog)
Lineage: Eukaryota; Metazoa; Chordata; Amphibia; Anura; Myobatrachidae
Exons: 3
Source: RefSeq, a predicted model, not a curated record
CUGAUUCGACGACAGGGCUCCAUUGGUCUCUGAGUUGAACUGAAUGCCCAUUAUUUUAAAAGGAUGAUGUACCUGUACCAUAAAUAGAAACCUGAAGCUGUCACAGAUGUACCGGUUUCCUAAUGCAGCUGAGAAACUAGAAGUAAACCUUUGGUUGGUUACUAUGAGCAAACUCAAUCACCUUUUGUACCUCCGAAUAGGAAGACUGUUCAGACUGUAACACCAUAAGGAAGCCUCUGUUACUUCCACCAAAACGGGAAGUGUCAGGUGUGCAAAGGAAGACUCACCAUGCUCCGUUAGAUAUUCCGCAUGGAGGAGCUCUGCAGCCAGUGACAGAGUAACAUACAAAAUACCAGACUACAGUACCAUUCAAUGAAGACCCGUUCCUCACACCUUGCUAUAAGAACAGGCUCAGGAGGGAAUUACUUAUUUCUUUUCUUCAUUCCACAAUUUCCCACAAGCUGAAAAACAUCAUUAGAAUUUCCCAAUUGCUUAGUUAGCAGCAGAUGUGGUACGUAUUGGACCAUGUACACAAAUUAGCCAGAAAUGUCCUCUCCCCUGACACCUUUAAUUCCCUGGUUCAUGGUGGGAUGUACAGCAAAAUCACCAGCUCAUUAUCAUGGCUACUUAAAAUCUAUCAGGAAUGUUAAAGGAGGAAACAGAAGUAACAAACACUUAUAAAAGCGGAUUUAGAUCAAUAUGUCUCUGCUGAAAAAAACUAAUUUAUGAAGAAUGUAUUAUAACAUGAAUGAACACCUGGAAAGCCAAUUAUAUGAACCCUUGUAGAGACGUGUUCCAUAGU